Molecule: long non-coding RNA, 475 nt
Filed under: Hordeum vulgare
Lineage: Eukaryota; Viridiplantae; Streptophyta; Magnoliopsida; Poales; Poaceae
Description: long non-coding RNA (HVUL_LNC013803)
Source: RNAcentral
CGGGACACCCGGUGGCGGCAGUGGCUGCGGGUUUGGCCCCGGCGGUGGUAAUGGCAGCGGUGGUGCGUUUGGACCCGGCGGUGGCAGUGGCAGAGGCUGCGGUAACGGCAGCGGCGGUGCGUUUGGACCCGGCAGUGGUUGCGGCAGAGGCUGCGGUAAUGGUUGUGGCUGCGUGUUUGGGUCCGGUUGGGGUUGUGGAAGAGGCUGCGGUAAUGGUUGUGGCUGCGGGUUUGGGUCCGGCUGUGGUUGGGGUAAUGGCUGUGGCUGUGGGUUUGGGUCUGGGUUAGGCAAAGGUUGUGGGUUUGGGUCUGGGUUAGGUAAAGGUUGUGGGUUUGGGUCAGGUUGUGGGUUCGGAAUCGGAAGUGGCACCGGUUGUGGGCCGGGUUGAGGGCGUGGGUUUGGCAGCGGCAGCGGCUGUGGCCCGGGCACUUGCUGCAACUUCCGCUGCCGCGCAUGCACGCUGCCUGCACCGUCC